This 108-nucleotide ribosomal RNA is filed under the name Caerostris darwini. The record is from RNAcentral. Lineage: Eukaryota; Metazoa; Arthropoda; Arachnida; Araneae; Araneidae.
GCCAUACCAUGCUGAAUAUACCGGUUCUCGUUAGAUCACCGAAGUCAAGCAUCAUUGGGCGCGGUCAGUACUUGGGUGGGUGAACACCUGGGAAUACCGCGUGCCGUU